UACGUAGGGUGCGAGCGUUGUCCGGAAUUAUUGGGCGUAAAGAGCUUGUAGGCGGUCUGUCGCGUCUGCUGUGAAAAUCCGGGGCUCAACCCCGGACUUGCAGUGGGUACGGGCAGACUAGAGUGUGGUAGGGGAGACUGGAAUUCCUGGUGUAGCGGUGAAAUGCGCAGAUAUCAGGAAGAACACCUAUGGCGAAGGCAGCACUCUGGGACGGUACUGACGCUGAGACGCGAAAGCGUGGGGAGCGAACAGG
This 253-nucleotide ribosomal RNA is filed under the name uncultured bacterium. RNAcentral describes it as "partial 16S ribosomal RNA". It matches the Rfam family "Bacterial small subunit ribosomal RNA", at positions 524 to 776 of the family's 1533-position model. The record is from RNAcentral.